GACGAACGCUGGCGGCGUGCUUAACACAUGCAAGUCGAACGGAAAGGCCCUGCUCUUGCGGCGCGCUCGAGUGGCGAACAGGUGUGUAACACGCGAGUAACCUGCCCUUGACUUUGGGAUAACUUCAGGAAACUGGGGCUAAUACCGGAUAGGAGCUCCUGAUGCAUGGUGGGGGUUGGAAAGUUACGGCGGUUGGGGAUCGACUCGCGGCUUAUCAGCUUGUUGGUGGGGUAGUGGCUUACAAAGGGUUUGACGGGUAGCCGGCCUGAGAGGGUGACCGGCCACAAUGGGCCUGAGAUACGGCGCAGACUCCUACGGGAGGCAGCAGUGGGGAAUAUUGCACAAUGGGCGGAAGCCAGAUACAGCGAUGCCGCGUGCGUGAUGACGGGCUUCGGGUUGUAAACCGCUUUCGCCUGUGACGAGGCGUGAGUGACGGUAAUGGGUAAGAAAGCACCGGCUAACUACGUG
RNAcentral lists this ribosomal RNA (468 nucleotides) under uncultured bacterium. RNAcentral's name for it is "partial 16S ribosomal RNA". It matches the Rfam family "Bacterial small subunit ribosomal RNA", at positions 28 to 507 of the family's 1533-position model. The record is from RNAcentral.